AUCGUGCAUUUAAAAUUUAAAUGAACGAGUGCAAAAUGUUGUCUUAACGACGACAUUGCUAUAUUAGACAUGCGCUUGAUGGCGGGCGUCUCAUCGAUGCCCGACCGUAGUGUGUCGCUGUGCGAUACGCGGUCUCCGGACCGCGUUGUGAUAUCGGCAUCUCGUAUGUCGGGAGCUACCGGUGUUUAUCACCGGCCCAACUGUGCGAUACGCGGUCUCCGGACCGCGUUGUGAUAUCGGCAUCUCGUAUGUCGGGAGCUACCGGUGUUUAUCACCGGCCCAACUGUGCGAUACGCGGUCUCCGGACCGCGUUGUGAUAUCGGCAUCUCGUAUGUCGGGAGCUACCGGUGUUUAUCACCGGCCCAACUGUGAGCUACCAGUUCAACUCGUUUGUUCUGGCCCGUCGUGGCGGUCUACGUGUGGAGACAAAACGCCCGAUGCAUCCUGCUCCGUAUCACCCGAUGCGUGAGCGAAUAAUGGAGAAAGGCGCGUAACUGCGUGCUCCUAAAUCACUACCCGAACGUGUGAGUACGCGUCUCGCGAUUAAUAUAUUUAUAUACGAAAGCGGACCGUUGGAAUAAAUCACUCCCGUUCGAAAUAUAGCAACGAAGAUAAUUCCGUCCUACAGGUGUCCGCAUUGCGCGGUCCCUGGGCGAAUGUCCGCCUUUUGACCGACAGAUUAGUUUCUGCGGUGCAAGAGUUGAAGCGGCUUUCGUUUGCGCGCCGCGAGCCAGUCUCGCUAGCGGAUUAUCCGAGAGCCACACAACUCCAAUUUUGGAACCAGCCAGAGGCGAAAGCCGACGGUGUAGUAAUUGAAACUGCCAAACAUGCAUG
This 834-nucleotide unclassified non-coding RNA is filed under the name Polygenis sp. F209. RNAcentral's name for it is "sequence contains ITS1". The record is from RNAcentral. Lineage: Eukaryota; Metazoa; Arthropoda; Insecta; Siphonaptera; Rhopalopsyllidae.